GAGUUUGAUUCUGGCUCAGGAUGAACGCUGGCGGCGUGCUUAACACAUGCAAGUCGAACGAACGACUAUUAACAGAACCUUUCGGGGCGAAGAUGAUAGAAGUUAGUGGCGGACGGGUGCGUAACGCGUGGGUAAUCUGUCUUUGUCAAAGGAAUAACUAUUCGAAAGAAUAGCUAAAACCGUAUAAAAUAUUAAUAGGGCAUCCUAAUAAUAUCAAAACGAUAGUGGACAAAGAUGAGCCCGCGUCUGAUUAGCUAGUUGGUGAGAUAAAAGCCCACCAAGGCAACGAUCAGUAGCCGACCUGAGAGGGUGAACGGCCACAUUGGAACUGAGACACGGUCCAAACUCCUACGGGAGGCAGCAGUGGGGAAUAUUGCACAAUGGGGGGAACCCUGAUGCAGCAACGCCGCGUGAGUGAAGAAGGCAUUCGUGUCGUAAAACUCUGUAGUAGGGGAAGAAAGAAAUGACA
This 469-nucleotide ribosomal RNA is filed under the name Filifactor alocis. Its description in RNAcentral is "bacterial SSU rRNA". It matches the Rfam family "Bacterial small subunit ribosomal RNA", at positions 9 to 459 of the family's 1533-position model. The record is from RNAcentral. Lineage: Bacteria; Bacillati; Bacillota; Clostridia; Peptostreptococcales; Filifactoraceae.